Molecule: unclassified non-coding RNA, 336 nt
Filed under: soil metagenome
Description: partial contains 5.8S ribosomal RNA, internal transcribed spacer 2, and large subunit ribosomal RNA
Rfam family: 5.8S ribosomal RNA (bases 1-120)
Source: RNAcentral
GAUGAAGAACGCAGCGAAAUGCGAUAAGUAAUGCGAAUUGCAGAAUUCAGUGAAUCAUCGAAUCUUUGAACGCACAUUGCGCCCGCCAGUAUUCUGGCGGGCAUGCCUGUUCGAGCGUCAUUUCAACCAUCAAGCCCCCGGCUUGUGUUGGGGACCUGCGGCUGCCGCAGGCCCUGAAAAGCAGUGGCGGGCUCGCUGUCACACCGAGCGUAGUAGCAUACAUCUCGCUCUGGGCGUGCUGCGGGUUCCGGCCGUUAAACCACCUUCAUAACCCAAGGUUGACCUCGGAUCAGGUAGGAAGACCCGCUGAACUUAAGCAUAUCAAUAAGCGGAGGA